GAGGGUAUAGCUCAGUGGUAGAGUGCAUGCUUAGCAUGCAUGAGGUCCUGGGUUCAAUUCCCAGUAGCUCCU
RNAcentral lists this transfer RNA (72 nucleotides) under Camelus bactrianus (Bactrian camel). It matches the Rfam family "tRNA". Rfam says of the family: Transfer RNA (tRNA) molecules are approximately 80 nucleotides in length. Their secondary structure includes four short double-helical elements and three loops (D, anti-codon, and T loops). RNAcentral also lists the same sequence under 2 other names. The record is from Rfam by way of RNAcentral. Lineage: Eukaryota; Metazoa; Chordata; Mammalia; Artiodactyla; Camelidae.